Molecule: ribosomal RNA, 492 nt
Filed under: uncultured bacterium
Lineage: Bacteria
Description: partial 16S ribosomal RNA
Rfam family: Bacterial small subunit ribosomal RNA
Source: RNAcentral
AGUGAACGCUGGCGGUAGGCCUAACACAUGCAAGUCGAACGGCAGCACAGUAAGAGCUUGCUCUUACGGGUGGCGAGUGGCGGACGGGUGAGGAAUACAUCGGAAUCUACUUUUUCUUGGGGGAUAACGUAGGGAAACUUACGCUAAUACCGCAUACUACCUACGGGUGAAAGCAGGGGAUCUUCGGACCUUGCGCGAUUGAAUGAGCCGAUGUCGGAUUAGCUAGUUGGCGAGGUAAAGGCCCACCAAGGCGACGAUCCGUAGCUGGUCUGAGAGGAUGAUCAGCCACACUGGAACUGAGACACGGUCCAGACUCCUACGGGAGGCAGCAGUGGGGAAUAUUCGACAAUGGGCGAAAGCCUGAUGCAGCAAUACCGCGUGGGUGAAGAAGGCCUUCGGGUUGUAAAGCUCUUUUGUUGAGAAAGAAAAGAAGCAGGUUAAUCCCCCGACGUUCUGACGGUACCCAAAGAAUAAGCACCGGCUAACUUCGUG